CUCUAUUCCAGCAGCCGCGGUAAUACGUUCCCGGGCCUUGUACACACCGCCCGUCACAUCACGAAAGUCGGUUGCACUAGAAGUCGGUGGGCUAACCCGCAAGGGAGGCAGCCGCCUAAAGUGUGAUCGGUAAUUGGGGUGAAGUCGUAACAAGGUAGCUGUAGGAGAACCUGCGGCUGGAUCACCUCCUUUCUAAGGAGCAUCUCCGCCCCGGAUCUAAACGGGGUCGCGACCGGCACCGCAAGGUGCCGACCUGAUGCAACCUAGGUCGAGAGGAAUCGCUGUAAUGUCUUGCCUCUUGCCUUUCCUGUUCGGUUUUCAGAGAACCGCCCGGUUCUAUGACAAGCGAUAUUGCUGCGGAAGGUGGCUGGCAGGUCGGCUGUCCGAUCGACCCGAGCGCAUCCAAGUGAUGAAUCGGGCCUAUAGCUCAGUUGGUUAGAGCGCACGCCUGAUAAGCGUGAGGUCGGUAGUUCGAAUCUACCUAGGCCCACCAUCAUCUGAACGAUGAACGCGGAACGAUGAUCGAUGAACAUGGCGUCAUCGCACGUCGUGCAACGUUCAUCCUCUUCACCGGGGGCUGUAGCUCAGUUGGGAGAGCACCUGCUUUGCAAGCAGGGGGUCGUCGGUUCGAUCCCGUCCAGCUCCACCAAUUCCACCGGCCCUGGUACGCUCCGGCUUCUCCGUAGCAAUCACACUCCGUCGACCGCGAGACAAGCGGUGAGUGCAAUCGCCUCCACGAUUGCGUUCAGCGUUGGUCUUCGCGACCGCAGUGUUUGUUGACAACUGAAUAUGGGU
Molecule: unclassified non-coding RNA, 795 nt
Filed under: uncultured bacterium
Lineage: Bacteria
Description: partial contains 16S ribosomal RNA, 16S-23S ribosomal RNA intergenic spacer, and 23S ribosomal RNA
Rfam family: Bacterial small subunit ribosomal RNA (bases 1-192)
Source: RNAcentral